AGUGGCGAACGGGUGAGUAACACGUGAGUAACCUGCCCUUGACUCUGGGAUAAGCGUUGGAAACGACGUCUAAUACCGGAUACGAACCUCAACCGCAUGGUUAGGGGUUGGAAAGAUUUUUUGGUCAAGGAUGGACUCGCGGCCUAUCAGCUUGUUGGUGAGGUAAUGGCUCACCAAGGCGACGACGGGUAGCCGGCCUGAGAGGGUGACCGGCCACACUGGGACUGAGACACGGCCCAGACUCCUACGGGAGGCAGCAGUGGGGAAUAUUGCACAAUGGGCGCAAGCCUGAUGCAGCAACGCCGCGUGAGGGAUGACGGCCUUCGGGUUGUAAACCUCUUUUAGUAGGGAAGAAGCGAAUGUGACGGUACCUGCAGAAAAAGCACCGGCUAACUACGUGCCAGCAGCCGCGGUAAUACGUAGGGUGCAAGCGUUGUCCGGAAUUAUUGGGCGUAAAGAGCUCGUAGGCGGUUUGUCGCGUCUGCUGUGAAAACUGGAGGCUCAACCUCCAGCCUGCAGUGGGUACGGGCAGACUAGAGUGCGGUAGGGGAGAUUGGAAUUCCUGGUGUAGCGGUGGAAUGCGCAGAUAUCAGGAGGAACACCGAUGGCGAAGGCAGAU
RNAcentral lists this ribosomal RNA (619 nucleotides) under Herbiconiux sp. I12A-02025. Its description in RNAcentral is "bacterial SSU rRNA". It matches the Rfam family "Bacterial small subunit ribosomal RNA", at positions 94 to 726 of the family's 1533-position model. Lineage: Bacteria; Bacillati; Actinomycetota; Actinomycetes; Micrococcales; Microbacteriaceae. The record is from RNAcentral.